Molecule: ribosomal RNA, 50 nt
Filed under: Convolvulus glandulosus
Lineage: Eukaryota; Viridiplantae; Streptophyta; Magnoliopsida; Solanales; Convolvulaceae
Description: partial 5.8S ribosomal RNA
Source: RNAcentral
AAAAAAUGACUCUCGGCAACGGAUAUCUCGGCUCUCGCAUCGAUGAAGAA